UGACCUCAAGUCAUAUGAGAGUACUCGCCGAACUUAAGCAUAUCAAUAAGUAGAGGAAAAGAAACUAAUAAGGAUUCCCCUAGUAACGGCGAGUGAAGUGGAAAGAGCACAAAUUUAAAAUCUACCUGGUUUCCAGGUCGAGUUGUAAUUUGAAGAAAUGUUUUUGACAUUCCGGGUUGGACUAAAUCCUUUGGGAUAAGGUAUCAUAGAGGGUGAGAAUCCUGUAUAAUACCAAUCGUAGGGAUGUUAUUUAAUAAUGUUUCUAAGAGUCAAGUUGUUUGGAAAUGCAGCUCUAAAUGGGUGGUAAAUUUCACCUAAUGCUAAAUAUAAGUGAGAGACCGAUAGCGAACAAGUACAGUGAUGGAAAGAUAAAAAGAACUUUGAAAAGAGAGUUAAAUAGUACGUGAAAUUGUUAAAAGGGAAAUGAUUGAAGUCAGUCAUGCUGGCGGGAAUCAGUUUAGAGGAAACUCUGGGUGCACUUCUUCGCUUGGCAGGCUAGUGUCGAUUUUGGAUGUCAUAAAAUGAUUGGGGCAAAGUAGCUCCUUUGGGAGUGUUAUAGCCCUUGGUAGAUGUAAUGUCUGGGGUCGAGGAUUGCAAUAGAUACCCUUCGGGGCUAGCCGCCUGGCCUCUAAUUGGUGUUGGGUUAUGGAUAGCAUGCUAACCAUGAUCGGAUUACUGGUUAAAAGGUUAAAGCGUGUAUAAAUUCAUUAAGGAUGCUGACGUAAUGGCUUUAAACAACCCGUCUUGAAACACGGACCA
This 759-nucleotide ribosomal RNA is filed under the name Gigaspora margarita. Its description in RNAcentral is "eukaryotic LSU rRNA". It matches the Rfam family "Eukaryotic large subunit ribosomal RNA", at positions 1 to 668 of the family's 3401-position model. Lineage: Eukaryota; Fungi; Glomeromycota; Glomeromycetes; Diversisporales; Gigasporaceae. The record is from RNAcentral.